Molecule: long non-coding RNA, 332 nt
Organism: Dalotia coriaria
Lineage: Eukaryota; Metazoa; Arthropoda; Insecta; Coleoptera; Staphylinidae
Exons: 4
Source: RefSeq, a predicted model, not a curated record
AUUUUUGCUUGAUUUAGGGAUUUUGCACCUGAGCCUGACAUCGUAGAAGGACCAUUCUUGCAUCAGAUUGGAUUUUGCACCUGAGUCUGACAUCAUAAAAGGACCAUUCUUGCAUCAGAUUGGAUUUUGCACCUGAGUCUGACAUCGUAGAAGGACCAUUAUGGUAUCAGAUUGUAUUUUGCACCUGAGUCGGACAUCGUAAAAGGACCAUUCUUGCAGCAGAUUGUUAUUAAUAAAUUUCAUUAUCUUAAAUAACUUUUGUGAUUAUUACACAAAUUGACUCCCAAUAUUAUGCUUGUGUGUUUUCUUUAAUAAAGAGUAUUUUUAAGUUU